CGUGAAUCCAAUUCCGGCGCGAUCAACUGAACCCGGCGUUGACUCCAAUUCCGGCAGGAUCAACCGGAACUCCGGCGUUGACUCCAAUUCCGGCAGGAUCAACCGAGCAAUCCGGCGUUGAAUCCAAUUCCGGCGGUGAAUCCGAGUCCGGCGUUGAAUCCAAUUCCGGCAGGAUCAACCGGAUUCCGGUUGAUCCUGCCGGACCUGACUGCUAUCGGAUUGGUACUAAGCCAUGCGAGUCGUUGUAGCAAUACAAUGUGGACUGCUCAGUAACACGUAGUUAACUUAACCUAUGGAUGGGAAUAACCUCGGGAAACUGAGAAUAAUACCCAAUAGACCACAGUGCCUGGAAUGGCCUGUGGUUGAAAUGAUUUAUCGCCGUAGGAUAGGACUGCGGCCUAUCAGCUUGUUGGUGAGGUAAUGGCCCACCAAGGCUAUAACAGGUACGGGCUCUGAGAGGAGGGGCCGGAGACUGGGUACUGAGACACGGAACCAGGCCCUAUGGGGCGCAACA
This 514-nucleotide ribosomal RNA is filed under the name uncultured archaeon. RNAcentral's name for it is "bacterial SSU rRNA". The stretch from base 183 to 514 matches the Rfam family "Archaeal small subunit ribosomal RNA", at positions 1 to 337 of the family's 1478-position model. The record is from RNAcentral.